RNAcentral lists this ribosomal RNA (429 nucleotides) under uncultured prokaryote. RNAcentral's name for it is "bacterial SSU rRNA". It matches the Rfam family "Bacterial small subunit ribosomal RNA", at positions 355 to 776 of the family's 1533-position model. The record is from RNAcentral. RNAcentral also lists the same sequence under 1 other name.
UGGGGAAUAUUGCACAAUGGGGGAAACCCUGAUGCAGCCAUGCCGCGUGUAUUAAGAAGGCCUUCGGGUUGUAAAGUACUUUCAGUUGUGAGGAAGGCGUCGGAGUUAAUAGCUUCAGCGUUUGACGUUAGCAACAGAAGAAGCACCGGCUAACUCCGUGCCAGCAGCCGCGGUAAUACGGAGGGUGCGAGCGUUAAUCGGAAUUACUGGGCGUAAAGCGCAUGCAGGCGGUCUGUUAAGCAAGAUGUGAAAGCCCGGGGCUCAACCUCGGAACAGCAUUUUGAACUGGCAGACUAGAGUCUUGUAGAGGGGGGUAGAAUUUCAGGUGUAGCGGUGAAAUGCGUAGAGAUCUGAAGGAAUACCGGUGGCGAAGGCGGCCCCCUGGACAAAGACUGACGCUCAGAUGCGAAAGCGUGGGGAGCAAACAGG